UGAAGAAGAUUCGUGGCCCACAUCUUUUCAUUGACAUGCAACUCUGGUUGCCCCCCCACCCCCACCCCCCGGCCCACGACUUCCCUUUCGCCGGCGUCCCUCGCCUUUCUCUUGGCUGCCGCGAAGGAGGUGCUGAAGCCGUACAGCGCUUGCCAUACAGAACGGCCGCAGAGAGGGCCAGAGACUGGCAAGGAGAGGAUGUGAUAAGUACGGCUAAGCAAUCGUCCGUUAUUCUCAAGCUUAGCGUCGCCUGGGAAGAAACAGAGAGAAAGACAGACGGACUGAAAUACAGACAGAGGAGCACAGAGGGAAGACGAAAACACACACACGUAUAUAUCAAGGAGAGCGAUGGGCGGUGCAGUUGCCAUUAUGUGUGAAGUGUCUCUACAACCCUGCUACCGUCAACACCACCACCGAUGCCGCCGUUACUGCUGACGUCUCUAAAACUACCAUCAUCACCACUGUCUAUCAAGUUGAUUUGAAUAUUUUAUAUAACAUUACAUUUAUGAAAAUCCUA
RNAcentral lists this long non-coding RNA (517 nucleotides) under Penaeus monodon (black tiger shrimp). Its description in RNAcentral is "uncharacterized LOC119589816, transcript variant X1". The record is from RNAcentral. Lineage: Eukaryota; Metazoa; Arthropoda; Malacostraca; Decapoda; Penaeidae.